Long non-coding RNA from Mangifera indica (mango), 1344 nucleotides. RefSeq lists it as uncharacterized. The record is from RefSeq and is a predicted model, not a curated record. NCBI's taxonomy places the organism in Eukaryota, Viridiplantae, Streptophyta, Magnoliopsida, Sapindales, Anacardiaceae. The transcript has 4 exons.
ACUGGGGAAAAUUGGAAUCUACAUUACUGCAGAUUAAAGAAUUGAACAACUUUACGCCACAACUAGUAAUUCUGCAGAAUCGAAUAAGGGUUUUUUUUUAAUAAUAAUAAAAUCAAUCUACCUGCAAUAUUAUUACUUGAGGCUUCAGCUUUCAAAUAUGCUCUAUGGAUAUUUCCUUCAGCCUUCAUAAAAAGUUCUCUUUUCCCAUGUAUAAAUGUCUUGGAUACACAAGUUUUAUAAAUAUCCUCCAACAAAGUCUGUUUUCUUCCUGUUGCUAAGAUGAAUGAUCCCAAGUAUGGUUAUCCGUACCCGCCUCCAGGGUCUUAUGGGCCUCAAGUAGUGAUGGCACCUCCACAGUAUUAUCAUGCAGCUCAGCCACCACCACCACCACCUAAGAAAGAUUCAAGUUUUCUUGAAGGAUUCUUAGCAGCUUUGUGUUGCUGCUGUCUCUUGGAUGACUGUUGCUGCGAUCCCUCCAUUAUUUGCGUUACCUAAAUGCAGCUUUGUGUUGCUUCUGUUCCCUUUUCUAUUUUUCUGCCGAGUGUAUUCUAUUUCUGAUUAAUCCUAUAUAUUAAGUUUGCAGUAGCUAUGUAUCAGAUAAUACAGGUGUGAUCCUAUGUAUUUAUUUUUUGGGUUUGGUAUCAAAUAUUUUCAAUCUUCCAAUUACACGAUAAUAUAUCAUCUAUGCAUCCAAACUGUGUACUAAAAGUGUAUAUGCAAAAAAAAAAAAAAAAAAAAAAGCUAUUAAAGCUUCGCAAAUAGAAAGGAAAUGCAGACAGAAGAAAGUAAAACUGGUUUGUAUUAAAACAAGUGUAUUCACAUGCUUUCAGAAUUCAGCCACGUAUAUUUCCACAAUCCACUCCAAUUCUAUCCUCAAUCCUCUGUUAUCAAAUUUACCUUUUUCUUUCGCACCAACUUCACAUCUUUUUCUCUCAAGUCUUUAUCUUCAUAGUACAACCGAGUUAAACUCAGUACUCUUCCUGCCAAAUGUGAAUGAACCCAAGUAUGCAUAUCCUUAUCAUCCUCAAGGUAGUUGACAAAAUACCUAACAAUAUCAACUGUGGAAAUUAGGUGUUGAUUUGCAGGUGAAGAAUUUAAUAAAAUUUGAGUUGCAGCUGCAGGUGGGUAUCAUCACCAUGGAUCUCCGGUGAUGGCACCACCACUGUAUGUAGCUCCACCGCCAAGAGAGUCCAGUUUCUUCGAGGCCUGUCUUGCAGCUUUGUGUUGCUGCUGUCUCAUAGAGGAAUGCUGUUGCGAUCCCUUUAUGCUCUUCUGGCUCUAAUUGCCGAGAAUCAAUUUGUGUAAAAUGCUUUUCUUUUAAGAUCUUAUCCUCUUAUUUUGUCA